GCGUCUGGUACAGCGGAGGGAUCAUU
RNAcentral lists this ribosomal RNA (26 nucleotides) under Phaeoacremonium minimum. RNAcentral describes it as "partial 18S ribosomal RNA". Lineage: Eukaryota; Fungi; Ascomycota; Sordariomycetes; Togniniales; Togniniaceae. The record is from RNAcentral.